This 253-nucleotide ribosomal RNA is filed under the name uncultured bacterium. Its description in RNAcentral is "partial 16S ribosomal RNA". It matches the Rfam family "Bacterial small subunit ribosomal RNA", at positions 524 to 776 of the family's 1533-position model. The record is from RNAcentral.
UACGUAGGGUGCAAGCGUUGUCCGGAAUUAUUGGGCGUAAAGAGCUCGUAGGCGGUUUGUCGCGUCUGCUGUGAAAACUCGGGGCUUAACCCCGGGCCUGCAGUGGGUACGGGCAGACUAGAGUCCGGAAGAGGCGAGUGGAAUUCCUGGUGUAGCGGUGGAAUGCGCAGAUAUCAGGAGGAACACCAAUGGCGAAGGCAGCUCGCUGGGACGGUACUGACGCUAAGGCGCGAAAGCGUGGGGAGCGAACAGG